GAUAUUAAGCAGUGGUGAUUGGUUAUAGUGAUUUAAGUCAAGUGUGAAUGAUAAACUGCUGUUCCUAAAGUUGGCAUUACCAGUAUUAAAUCAUAGAUAUACAUGUUAAUGUGUUUUAAUAAUGAGAUCUAUGUUGAUCCCUGUGGGCGAUGAUACAUUUCAUAUGU
Molecule: microRNA precursor, 167 nt
Filed under: Petromyzon marinus (sea lamprey)
Lineage: Eukaryota; Metazoa; Chordata; Hyperoartia; Petromyzontiformes; Petromyzontidae
Description: miRNA (ENSPMAG00000012261.1)
Source: RNAcentral